This 520-nucleotide ribosomal RNA is filed under the name uncultured bacterium. RNAcentral's name for it is "bacterial SSU rRNA". It matches the Rfam family "Bacterial small subunit ribosomal RNA", at positions 120 to 674 of the family's 1533-position model. The record is from RNAcentral.
GGGAAUCUGCCCUUGGGUUCGGAAUAACAGUGAGAAAUUACUGCUAAUACCGGAUGAUGUCUCCGGACCAAAGAUUUAUCGCCCAAGGAUGAGCCCGCGUAGGAUUAGGUAGUUGGUGGGGUAAUGGCCUACCAAGCCGACGAUCCUUAGCUGGUCUGAGAGGAUGAUCAGCCACACUGGGACUGAGACACGGCCCAGACUCCUACGGGAGGCAGCAGUGGGGAAUAUUGGACAAUGGGCGAAAGCCUGAUCCAGCAAUGCCGCGUGAGUGAUGAAGGCCUUAGGGUUGUAAAGCCCUUUUACCCGGGAUGAUAAUGACAGUACCGGGAGAAUAAGCUCCGGCUAACUCCGUGCCAGCAGCCGCGGUAAUACGGAGGGAGCUAGCGUUGUUCGGAAUUACUGGGCGUAAAGCGCGCGUAGGCGGCUGCUCAAGUCAGAGGUGAAAGCCCGGGGCUCAACCCCGGAACUGCCUUUGAAACUAGGUAGCUAGAAUCUUGGAGAGGUCAGUGGAAUUCCGAGU